AGCGGGUGUAGUUUAUUGGUAAAACUACAGCCUUCCAAGCUGUUGUCGCGAGUUCGAUUCUCGUCACCCGCUU
RNAcentral lists this transfer RNA (73 nucleotides) under Streptococcus pyogenes. RNAcentral's name for it is "tRNA-Gly(tcc)". It matches the Rfam family "tRNA". Rfam says of the family: Transfer RNA (tRNA) molecules are approximately 80 nucleotides in length. Their secondary structure includes four short double-helical elements and three loops (D, anti-codon, and T loops). The record is from RNAcentral. Lineage: Bacteria; Bacillati; Bacillota; Bacilli; Lactobacillales; Streptococcaceae.